GUUCUUAAAGAGGAAGAAAAAUGGACACGGAGAAGCAAUUUGCCUUCUAGUGGGAAAUAACUGCUCCCUUGCAUUCCAAACAGAUCGUGAGAGAUAAAGAGGAAGGCUUUCCUGGUAGGAUACCGUGGGCGAGGACUCCGCUUUCUGACUUUGUUUGUCUAUGGUAUAAAGGACUCUGGGCAGACAGCAGUCAUCUUUGUCUUGGCUACCCCGAAAACAGGCUGAAGCACCAGGACAAGCCUUUGUCCUCCAUCUGCAGCCACGCAGGAUUCCAGGAAAAGCAAAGCCUUGCAGAAUAGAGCCACAAUGGGGCUCAGCCUCCUCCGACGCGCUGUGGCUAGGCUGCGGGCGAACCAACCCUUGCCUCCCUUCAAGCAAUAGGGACUUUCGGGGAUCACCUUACAGAGUUAAUGUUGAGACCACGAUUAACCCCUCCUUGACCACCUCUUGCCCUCGGCCCCAAUUCACCCUCUGCUUAACCUAAAGCUCGGGUCUACACGGUGAAGGCAAAGUUGCGGGCGUCAGGAGAUCCCCUUACUCAUUCCCCUCCUGAUGAUCGGUUAAAUUUCUUCUCGGGGUUUUCUCCGUACUUGCCUCUUUGACUGGCGAUGGGUCUGGUGGCUGAGCCUAGCCUCGCAGUUGCUGGCACAGGCUCUCCUGGCAUUACCAGGCUACUCACAGUGAUUUUUUUUUUUUUUGCCUUCCCCAAAUUUGAACCAGGAGAGCGUUUACUUCCCGUCCUACCCCAGGGACCUGCUGAUUUCCCCCAUUACUGUAAAUUGCUGCUCUGGGUGCUUUGCAUUUGUUAUUAAGAUGUAAUCAGGGUUGCCUAACUGAUUAACAGUCUCGCCCUCAGCCCCCCACCCCUCACACCUGACUGGGAGGGAAAGCAAUGAAAACAGCCAGGACUGGGGGGUGGGGGUGGUGGUGGUGGGGGGGCAGUGGGUCCUUCUGGACAGCCUGAUAGCGGAGAGAACGUCAGAAAGCUACCGGGCUUCUCCCUGGAUCCCUACCGAUAGAAGAAACCUUGUGCCUCUCAAGUUCCUGGGGACUGAGAGUUGGGGACCCAACCUAGGGCCUUGCGCUCGCUAGGCAAGCACUCUACCGCUGAGCUAAAUCCCCAACCCCGCAAUCUUAACUCUUAACCACUGGGCCAUUUCUCCAUCCCUGUAUUAGGAACUGGAUAUGUUAUUAUAGAUUUGAUUGUGUCAAAAAUGAGAUGAUACCACAACUUCGUGCCAAGGCUUAAUACUUUAUAAAAACAGUUCACAUAAACUGGAGACAUACCAGAAGGAAUUCUGUAAGCAUUCAACAUUUAUUAAACGAUUUUUUUUUAAAUUUAA
Rattus norvegicus (Norway rat) is the source of this 1343-nucleotide non-coding RNA. Lineage: Eukaryota; Metazoa; Chordata; Mammalia; Rodentia; Muridae. The record is from RefSeq and is a predicted model, not a curated record.